Molecule: ribosomal RNA, 499 nt
Filed under: uncultured bacterium
Lineage: Bacteria
Description: partial 16S ribosomal RNA
Rfam family: Bacterial small subunit ribosomal RNA
Source: RNAcentral
GACGAACGCUGGCGGCGUGCUUAACACAUGCAAGUCGAACGGGCCCGCCCCUGUUUUUGGGGGUGGGUUGAGUGGCGAACGGGUGAGUAUCACGUGAGUAACCUGCCCCCUGCUCCUGGAUAACUGCUUGAAAGGGCGGCUAAUACGGGGUGUGCCGGCUGGUCCGCAUGGGCCUGGUCGGGAUAGUUUCAUCUUCGGGUGUUUCGGUGGGGGAUGGGCUCGCGGCCUAUCAGCUUGUUGGUGGGGUGAUGGCCCACCAAGGCGGUGACGGGUAGCCGGCCUGAGAGGAUGGGCGGCCACACUGGGACGGAGACACGGCCCAGACGCCUGCGGGAGGCAGCAGUGGGGGGUAUGGCAGAAUGGGCGGAAGCCGGAGGCAGCGACGUCGCGUGAGGGAUGGAGGCCGUCGGGUUGUGAACCUCUUUCUCCGGUGGUGAAGGCCCUGUCCGUUGCGGCGGGGUUGACGGUAGCCGGGUAUGAAGCGCCGGCUAACUACGUG